Molecule: non-coding RNA, 1156 nt
Organism: Podarcis lilfordi (Lilford's wall lizard)
Lineage: Eukaryota; Metazoa; Chordata; Lepidosauria; Squamata; Lacertidae
Source: the annotation of a GenBank genome assembly
UGGAAUGUGCAAAAGCCCAACAGGUUCUCACCAAUAUUUUUAUUUUGUAAACUGCCUUGGAUGAAUGGCAGUAUAGAAUUUUAAUUAAGAAGAAGAAGUUUGGGACUCACCAAGCUCAUCCUGGACACUUAGGGAGCUGAGGAGCACAUCAACAUCUACAUUGAGAAGUGAGAGAGGAAGGGAUAUUGAUUUUGUGUUUCCAUUUUGAUAAUUUGAUUUUUAUAUUCUGAUUUUAUAUUGUAGCCGCCCCGAGACCUGCGGGUAUAAUAGGGUGGUAUAGAAAUUUAAUAAAUAAUUAUUGAUUUUAUUGAUUUUUAUAUUUUUUUUAGAGGAUGGUAAGAAAGGGGACUGCCUUGCCGUGGCGAAGGGGUCAUAGCGGAGAGUUUUGACCAAACGCGAUCCACCUGCAGCAGGAACCGGCAAGCCACUCCAGUAUCCCUGCCAAGAAAACUCCUUGGACAAACCAUAAAAUCAGCCCUGAGGGCUCACUGGAAGGACAGAUCCUGAAGCUGAGGCUCCAAUACUUUGGCCACCUCAUGAGAAGAGAAGACUCCCUGGAAAAGACCCUGAUGUUGGGAAAGAUGGAGGGCACAAGGAGAAGGGCUGACAGAGGACGAGAUGGUUGGGCAGUGUUCUCGAAGCUACCAGCAUGAGUCUGACCAAACUGCGGGAGGCAGUGGAAGACAGGAGUGCCUGGCGUGCUCUGGUCCAGGGGGUCACGAAGAGUCGGACGCGACUGGAGAAUGAAGCUGUUAGACUAUGCUGAGUUGGACAAAUUGACCAGGAAAAUUAGAUACUUAAGAGACCAAAAGUUCAUCGAGGACUGGGGGAAAUUUGUGGAAUAUCUGGAAAGUAUAAGUGAGGGACAGAUAACGCUAGAGGGGUUUAAAAAAGCACUGUGAAAAAACUGAGAAGUAUUGUCUAAAGAGAAAGGAAAUCAAGGGUAUAAACAAUGACAAUAUAAAUUAGGAAAUGCGUAUCUAAAAUAAUGACUAUGGAUGAUUUACGGAGAAGCUGAAGGAAGUCCAGAAAAGAAGCAAUUUGUGAAAAUUGGAUGUGAAAAUUUUAUGUAUGUUUUGUUUUGUUGUAAAUUAAUAAAAAUUUUCAACAACAAAAAAGUGUCGGACACGACUAAACAACAACAACAAAGAAAGGG